This 377-nucleotide ribosomal RNA is filed under the name uncultured bacterium. RNAcentral describes it as "bacterial SSU rRNA". It matches the Rfam family "Bacterial small subunit ribosomal RNA", at positions 29 to 434 of the family's 1533-position model. The record is from RNAcentral.
AACGAACGCUGGCGGCAGGCCUAACACAUGCAAGUCGAACGCCCUAGUAAUAGGGAGUGGCAGACGGGUGAGUAACACGUGGGAACCUUCCCUAUAGUACGGAAUAGCCCAGGGAAACUUGGAGUAAUACCGUAUAAGCCCGAGAGGGGAAAGAUUUAUCGCUAUAGGAUGGGCCCGCGUAGGAUUAGCUAGUUGGUGAGGUAACGGCUCACCAAGGCAACGAUCCUUAGCUGGUUGAGAGAAUGACCAGCCACACUGGGACUGAGACACGGCCCAGACUCCUACGGGAGGCAGCAGUGGGGAAUCUUGGACAAUGGGCGCAAGCCUGAUCCAGCCAUGCCGCGUGAGUGAUGAAGGCCUUAGGGUUGUAAAGCUCU